ACGAAGGUUGCGAGCGUUGUUCGGAAUCACUGGGCUUAAAGCGCAUGUAGGCGGAUGAGUAAGCGUUUUGUGAAAUCCCUCGGCUUAACCGAGGAAUUGCUUGGCGAACUGCUCAUCUUGAGGCAAGCAGGGGUGCAUGGAACUCUUGGUGGAGCGGUGGAAUGCGUAGAUAUCAAGAGGAACGCCAAUGGUGAAAACAGUGCACUGGGCUUGUUCUGACGCUGAGAUGCGAAAGCGUGGGGAGCGAACGG
RNAcentral lists this ribosomal RNA (251 nucleotides) under uncultured prokaryote. RNAcentral's name for it is "partial 16S rRNA". It matches the Rfam family "Bacterial small subunit ribosomal RNA", at positions 525 to 775 of the family's 1533-position model. The record is from RNAcentral.